RNAcentral lists this ribosomal RNA (312 nucleotides) under uncultured bacterium. Its description in RNAcentral is "bacterial SSU rRNA". It matches the Rfam family "Bacterial small subunit ribosomal RNA", at positions 29 to 367 of the family's 1533-position model. The record is from RNAcentral.
AACGAACGCUGGCGGCAUGCCUAACACAUGCAAGUCGAACGAGACCUUCGGGUCUAGUGGCGCACGGGUGCGUAACGCGUGGGAAUCUGCCCUUGGGUUCGGAAUAACAGUUAGAAAUGACUGCUAAUACCGGAUAAUGUCUUCGGACCAAAGAUUUAUCGCCCAGGGAUGAGCCCGCGUAGGAUUAGCUAGUUGGUGAGGUAAAGGCUCACCAAGGCGACGAUCCUUAGCUGGUCUGAGAGGAUGAUCAGCCACACUGGGACUGAGACACGGCCCAGAACUCCUACGGGAGGCAGCAGUGGGGAAUAUUGG